UACGUAGGGUGCGAGCGUUGUCCGGAAUUACUGGGCGUAAAGAGCUCGUAGGUGGUUUGUCGCGUUGUUCGUGAAAACUCACAGCUCAACUGUGGGCGUGCGGGCGAUACGGGCAGACUGGAGUACUGCAGGGGAGACUUGAAUUCCUGGUGUAGCGGUGGAAUGCGCAGAUAUCAGGAGGAACACCGGUGGCGAAGGCGGGUCUCUGGGCAGUAACUGACGCUGAGGAGCGAAAGCGUGGGGAGCGAACAGG
RNAcentral lists this ribosomal RNA (253 nucleotides) under uncultured bacterium. RNAcentral's name for it is "partial 16S ribosomal RNA". It matches the Rfam family "Bacterial small subunit ribosomal RNA", at positions 524 to 776 of the family's 1533-position model. The record is from RNAcentral.